This 568-nucleotide long non-coding RNA is filed under the name Sus scrofa (pig). RNAcentral's name for it is "lncRNA (ENSSSCG00015016593.1)". Lineage: Eukaryota; Metazoa; Chordata; Mammalia; Artiodactyla; Suidae. The record is from RNAcentral.
AUGGGGCAGAAAGAAGUUUCUGAACUUAUUGCUCCUGGGCACAAGGCCUUGGGGAUCCUGGAAAGCCCAGAAAGCAUUUGCUGCAUGGAGGCUGGAGGUCACAGGAAAUUCCUUAUCUUGGGAAGUCUUCAGAACAUCUUAUUACUAAAGUGCCAUGAUCUCUGUCACCAGAGUGUCUGGAAAAAAAGCAAGACCCAGACUCAGUGUCUUCCAAAAUUGGAGAGAAGUGGUUUUACAACCAGAAGACAUUCAGGACUCUGUGCUGAGAGCCAUUUGAUACAGGUGGGCAUUCUGGAAAGCCGUGGUUUUGCAGUAUUGGGGGAGUAUAUCUGUGUGCUGGGGGAGAGAGAGAGCACACCUGCUCACCCCACAUGGUCCGUGCCCUCUAGAAAACACCUUUAUAAAGCAAUCCAAUAACGCUCAGACAGACAUGUUCUGAAUCAUACCUAAACAUGCCAGAUGCACAUUACAUUACUUGAAAUGUGUGCUUUAAUUUGGUUUCUUGACUCUCCUUCUUCCAUCUUUAAAACAUUUCAAUAAAAGGAAGCUGCACAUCUUGAGUAAAUCA